GCUGGGCAUGGUGGCACUUGCCUGUAGUCCCAGCUACUUGGGAGGCUGAGGCAGGAGAAUCACUUGAACCCAGGAGGCGGAGGUUGCAGUGAGCUGAGAUUAUGCCACUGCACUCCAGCCUGGGUAACAGAGUGAGACUCUGUCUCAA
RNAcentral lists this non-coding RNA (148 nucleotides) under Homo sapiens (human). The record is from Rfam by way of RNAcentral. Lineage: Eukaryota; Metazoa; Chordata; Mammalia; Primates; Hominidae.